CACCAUUGAAACCCCCCUCCAUGUCUUCUUCCCCAAACUGCAACAGCUCAAACUCCAUGGAAAACUCCCAUGUGUUGCAUUGUCCUUGCGCACAAGCGCUCUCGGUGCAGAGCCGUGGGACCGUCGCUGCAUGCCCUCUUCCCCAAUGUUGUCGAAUACAUUUCCGGUGAGCAACCUUUCUUCUCUGGUGGUAUUUUUCAUUUUUUUAGUCUGUAGCCGUCGCAGUCCCUCAUCACGCCCUUGCGCGUGCGCAUGCCAAGCUACAGCCACCCAUGGUCGGCCAUGGCUGCCCAGCCACCACGCCCCACUGACCUGGCCACGCGCGUCGCAUUGGCGAGCGCCGCCACACCCGCUGCUGGUUGCCGACGCUGCCCAGCCCCACCUCGUCGCUCCUAUCGUGCGCCCCGUUGCGAGCGCCUAUAAAGCUUUGCAUCGCUGCCGUGGCCAUCCUGUUGCGCGCGUGCCGUUUCCCCCAGCAGGGCGUGCGAGCCGCUCCCACCCGGGCGUCCCCCGGUCGAACCUUCCCCAACUGCGCUGCUGCAAGGUCGGUCGUCGGCGAGCCUCACUGCCAUGCGCGGUUACAAGCAGCGCUUGUGCCAUCAACGAAGAAGAAACCGCCGCCUGGGUUCCACGCGCACGCAUGGCACUGGCAUGCAGCAAUGCCUCUAGCCCUCCUGCCCCUCCACGAUCUUCUGCAUGCAACAAACAAAUAGAAACUGGCAUGUGUGCCCCACUUCCUGUUUUCUUUCAUGCACAUAUUCUGCAUGCGACCAAGCCAGGAACGACUCUCCUCCCCACACAAAAUUCCACUCAUUUGGUUUCUCUAUGGCAGUUCUCCAUGUGGCUUCCUGUGUGGCUCCGGGUUCAGCCAAUAGAAUCGUGUCACGUCGCAUUAAAUCUGUGGUUUAGUAAAUACACGUUAACUUUUGCGUUAGGCGUCUAAUUUAUUCUGUUCCAGGUGUAGCUUCGUAACAAUGUCGUGUGCAUUCUAAAAAUAUUAUCGCACCAUGAUGUUUUAAUUAAUUAAUUAUUAAUUUACCCGAUGAUUAUUGAAAUAGCAAUCUAAGUAAAACUUAUUUCUAGUUUUAACUUGCGCUUAUAAAUAAAUGUUAAUAUGAUUAAUACCCAUGUAAAUACUUUGUAUUUAAUACUCCCUUAGUGUAAAUAUGACAUCUAUUUAGUAUUUCUCGCGUAUCACGCAUAUUGUUCCGCACAUAGUUGUGUCCUCGUUCGCACACCGUUUUCGCAUGUCGCGCGCAUUGGCAUGUGUCAUUCGCGUGUAUCGCGCGCUGUCCGCACGCGAUAUUAAGUCGUUCGCUUAUAAUCACUCAUGCCAGUUAAUUAACUAUUUAUUUAGUCGUCUACCGUUAAUAUUGUUAGUUAGUCAAAACUAAGUAGUUUUUUAACUUGCAUUUAAUACAUAUCAAUUAACAUGGUUAUAUUGAAUUAAAUAUUAUAACUCAUACCCACUUAGUGUAAACGCGAUAACUUCUCGAGCGUAGCUCCGACUAUCGCGUUUCUUUUUCCUCGCGCGACUGUAGUAACACGCUCUAUUUCGUUGUGUAUAUUUUAUUAUGUUUUAUUUGAAUGGUGUAAUGUUCUUACGCAUAUACAUAUAUUUGUUUGUUUGUUUGUUUGUUUGUGUCUGUUGGUAUUCGUUGUGCGUCGCAAAUAGUUUGCGAUCCGUUUUCGAGCUUCGAGGGAUCGAAGAUCAAGAGUUGGUGACCAAGUGAUCUGGCUCUUCGAGUUCCACGAAGCUGAAGACCCUGAGCAUCUAUUUGGUGAAGGCAAGUGUCCUCUGACCCAUUAUGUCUCAUUUACUUUAUAAUACACUGCCCCGCAUACUAUGAACAACCUAAGGAUUUACUAGCUUUCUAUUUAUCUUGUCCUUGAUUUACCUUUUGGGUUACUAUGGUUAGCUACAUGCUAGCGCUUUACUUUAAUCAAUGAACAUGAUGAGAUACAAUGAUGAUACUAUGAUUUUAUUCUGGAUAUGAUGAUAUACUUGUGGCAUUUAAGGGGACUCGGGUUGUUUCCCGAGUACCUCUCCGUAAGGACCUGUUCGUUGAGAGACCACCCGGGAUAACAGUGCAACCAUGAGGAUGAAAUGGGAUGCCCUUAGCUAAUUAAUUAGAGGAACUAGAGGGUAGUUGCUUCGCCGUCGUGCCGUCAAUGGGGUCCAGGCACAGUGCUUGCUCUGCCGAGGCUGAGUGCCGAGGUUCUUUCGUUUUGCUUUUGUUAGUCACCCUCCUGCGGGGAGAGGUACUGUGUUUAUCAAACUGGAGAAACCUAACGGGCGGCUAUGACCUCUAGGGAAUCUUUGUAAAAGCUACGUAGUGAUACCCUGCCGGACCACCUAGGAAGUGAUCAAUGGGGAGUCAUGAUCCCCGGGCAAAACGGGAAUCACGGCUCAUGGGUAAAGUGUGCGACCUCUGCAGAGGGUAAGGAAACUGAUAUAUCAGCCGUGCUCACGGUUAUGAGCGGCCUUGGGAUCCUCUUUGAUUAGAGAUACUUGAUUAGAGAUGAGGAGGAGGAGGAUGGUUAUGAUUAUGCUUAUGGUAAUGGUAAGUGGUAUUCCUUCCGUUUGGAAAGGGUACACUGGGUUAAUAACUUGGGUUAAUGUUAAAACCUGGCUCUCUACUAGUAAUAAUUACCUGACCAACUAAAAGCAACUGCUUGACUCUAACCCCACAUAAAGCUAGUCCACUUCAGCCAAACGGGACAUUUGCUGAGUACGUUGAUGUGUACUCACCCUUGCUUUCACAAAACACCAGGUUGCCUUUGGUGCAAUCUAUGCUCAGGUAAAGAAGGUGUCGAGGCGGAUCUCCAGGAGUUCCAGGACUUCGACGAGUCCGAGGAUUAGGCUAGCGACCUCCCCCAGUCAGCUGCCUGUGGUGGGUUGUUUACGUUGGCUACGUUUCGAUUCUGUGUACUUUGAUUUAUAUUAUGUAAAUGGCUCUAGUCUGUAAUAUUAUUACUUACUCUUUAUUGUAAUUCGAAGCAUUGUGCUAUGAUGAGUCAUUUAUGUAAUCGCUGUGUACGUGAAUAACUGAUCCUGGCACGUACAUGGUUCGCAUUCGGUUUACCUUCUAAAACCGGGUGUGACAUAAGUGGUAUCAAAGCCAGGUUGAGUGUAGGACCGCUGACCUAGAGUAGCAUUGGUCGUUUUAAGGACUUAUUGAUUUUUACUUCAUCUCAUCCUUGAUUCCGCUUCAAAAUAUUAGUCACCUCGACUAAUUCUAUGUUGUGCUCCUAUAUGCCCCCUUGCCAAAAAGUAUUUUAUUCUAGUAUGGUCUAUACUUCUCUCAAUCUAUUAGAUCUGAUCUCAUCUUGUGCUUGCGACAUCUUUGUAGAUGCCCCCUGACCAUAGCCUUUAGUCUUUUGGGACUCUUUCCUCGUCCAUUAUUAAAUUGCUACCAUUUGACCAUCUCUAUUCCAUUUUGUUAUUGACAUGCUCAUAUCCUUGCAUUUUUAAUAUCCUUACCCCUUAAUCUAAAGUACUUACCCUUGUACCUCUGUUGCCUAUUUAAAUAGUUCAGUUUAUGUGUCCAUGACCUUCUUGUCUUCUGAGAUCCUUUCUUAUUCUGUUGUUAAGUCGUUAUCUUUCAACAACUUCUAUUCCCUUGGUCUUAGUAUGCUCAUAUCCUUGGAGUCUUGCAUACUCUCGUAUUUUUAUGUAUGCUUAUCUUCAUACCCCAAUGUUUGUUUAAGACAUUUCAGUUAACAUGCCCUUGACCACCCUUGCUUCUUAAUGGUUCAUGAUCGACCAUUUUACUUUGCAUAUCCUUGGUGAUCUCGUUGUCUCCUUGUAACUUCACUUGGUAAUGAAUCUUUACUUCAACUCUUAUGUUGGAACCUUACCUAUCUUAGCCUUGAUUGUUUUCUCCACUUUGUCGUUUCGCGAGUCUUGUCUCAACUAUAUCCUUUGUUAUGCUUUUUAAUUAUUAUCAUAUGCACCCUUGACACCUCUAUAUCCUAUAUUGAUGUUUGUCUCAUACCUGCCCUUUAAAAUCGCCCCUCUUCCGUCUCAUACCUUCUUUCUCUUGGCUGUAUCCUCUUCUUUGGCUCGCGAGUUUGUAACCUCAUCCUUUGUUGUGCUUUUGCUUCUUAUUGCCUUUACCCUUCUCAUCUCUCGAUCUUACCUUGGUGAUUACGCUAUGUUCGUUAUCUAAAACCUCCAAUCUCCCACCUUAGUUCAAGCGUGGUCUCUUACUUAUCUCACCCGUGGUUAUAUCCUAUACUUUACCUCUUGCGAGACUUAUCUUAUUUCUAUUCUUGAUUGUACCUAGAUUCCUGGGUUUUUUAUGCACAUUUACCUCUUCCUUUAUAUCCUUGCCUAUUAUCACCUUUGACCCUUGACCUCUCUCCAUAUUUACCAUGAUGUUUACCUAUUUCUUAGCCUCACUUAUUCCAUUUCAAUCCGAGAGUGUUAUUUUCCCUACUCUGCUCUUGUUCGUUUCCUUUCCCUUUGUCGCUUUGCAAGUCUUGUCUUAACUCAAUCUUUUGUUGUGCUUUUGCCUGUUACCUCUUGUACCUUUGUAACCACUAGAUCUUUCCAUGAUGCUUAUCCUAUGCCUACCGUUUGAAAUAUCAUCUUUCCCAUCUCGAUUUGCGAAUGAUGUUUUACCUAUCCUGACCUUGGUUGCAUUCUCUCCCUGUUGGUUCCAAUCUUUACUUUAGCUCCAUCCUUUAUUAUGCUCAUGCCCCUAUCCUGCAUGUUUUAUCGCUCCCAUUGUCUUUCGAUGGCCUUAGUGUAGUUUCCCCUUUGUAAGGAAAGACCACCAUCUAGUUAACAUUAACGUGUAGCCACGAGAUGCCUGUUGUUGUGUGCUUGUGCCGUUUGUCUUUGUGUGAUGACUGAUUUUCUUCUUUGUGAUGAGUGUUGAUGUGUUGUGGCCCUUGGUCCGCAAUGACAUCAGUUCACCAGGUUAGUGCCAUAUAGUUAAGUAGUUGGGUUCUUCCCCUACUCUCUCUAAUCUGUCUAUACUUACCUUUUCUCGCUAUUCUUUCCUCUUGCACCUGUCCAUUUGGCAACCUCCAACUCCUUCAAAUCAGUCAAGAUCAGAGUCGGUAGCACCUUCAUCAAGUGCGUAUCAACGCUCCUGUUAAGGGGGUUAGUCGUUAACCCCAAUGAAGACAAUGUGAUCAACAUCAACCAACAAGAUCAAAGUGGCGCAGUGGAAGUGUGUGUGGGUCCUAACCCACAGGUCCAAUAGAACCUCAAGAAUCGCAUCGAUCGGUCUCAAGCAUCUGAAAGUCAAAGCAAACCAGUCCCCAAGUUAAGCUUGUAGAGUCAAAGUCAACUCAAGAAAGACGUGGACAACCUAUGAACCAACCUUGUUUUCUUGCUAGCCUCUCCUUGAAUCUCGAGGGCGAGAUUCUGUUAAGGGGGUUAGAUUUGUAACACCCUGAAUUUGGGGGUAUAAAAUUUCUUUUCUAAAAUCCACUAAAUUCGGGUGUUACCCUCUCUUUUCCUUGCUUUUCUUUUCUUUUUCUAAAUAAUGGAGAGUUAUUUUAUUAUAUAUAAGUUUUUAGCGUAGUAAAAUAAAAUCCUAGAGAAGCUUUUGUUGUUGCAUUCAUGUCAUUGCAUAGUGUUUAUGAGUGCAGGGGUUUUCAAACUAUAUCGAAUUAUCUUUUUCACGUUUCCGAAAAACUUUCGGGAACCUUCGAAACGUUUCUUUGAGUAUUAAAUAUGAAUUUCAGUUUUUCUAAUAUUAAUUAAAUAACUAAAAUGUAGUAGUUGCGAAAACUAUAAAAUUUUGGAAACUAGACUAUAUAUAUAUAUAUAUAUAUCUUCCUCUCGUCGAACCUGUUCCAGAUCUCGUGCCCUUUUUGCGAGAUCACCGAACCGCGUCUUCUCGCGAAUGGCAUGCUGCUCGCAUCGGCGAUCCUUGUCUAUCCCCGUCUACCCCUUCGGCGUCCACCUCGUCAUCUUGGGCCCGUGGGCCAGCUCUGACCGCCUUAGUCUAAUUUUAUCUAACCCUUUCUACCUCCGCCUAACUCAGUUUCUGUCGUAUACUUUCUCGCUCAAAUCGUCACGCAACCGUCUUUUUCGCUCGGCCAGAACGCAAUCCGCGGCAAAAUCGACAAGUGCCUCUCGCACCCUCUUCUCUAUAUACAUGUACCCCACCAUUGAAACCCCCCUCCAUGUCUUCUUCCCCAAACUGCAACAGCUCAAACUCCAUGGAAAACUCCCAUGUGUUGCAUUGUCCUUGCGCACAAGCGCUCUCGGUGCAGAGCCGUGGGACCGUCGCUGCAUCCCUCUUCCCCAAUGUUGUCGAAUACAUUUCCGGUGAGCAACCUUUCUUCUCCGGUGGUAUUUUUCAUUUUUUUUAGUCUGUAGCCGUCGCAGUCCCUCAUCACGCCCUUGCGCGUGCGCAUGCCAAGCUACAGCCACCCAUGGUCAGCCAUGGCUGCCCAGCCACCACGCCCCACUGACCUGGCCACGCGCGUCGCAUUGGCGAGCGCCGCCACACCCGCUGCUCCUAUCAUGCCCAGCCCCACCUCGUCGCUCCUAUCAUGCGCCCCGUUGCGAGCGCCUAUAAAGCUUUGCAUCGCUGCCGUGGCCAUCCUGUUGCGCGCGUGCCGUUUCCCCCAGCAGGGCGUGCGAGCCGCUCCCACCCGGGCGUCCCCCGGUCGAACCUUCCCCAACUGCGCUGCUGCAAGGUCGGUCGUCGGCGAGCCUCACUGCCAUGCGCGGUUACAAGCAGCGCUUGUGCCAUCAACGAAGAAGAAACCGCCGCCUAGGUUCCACGCGCACGCAUGGCACUGGCAUGCAGCAAUGCCUCUAGCCCUCCUGCCCCUCCACGAUCUUCUGCAUGCAACAAACAAAUAGAAACUGGCAUGUGUGCCCCACUUCCUGUUUUCUUUCAUGCACAUAUUCUGCAUGCGACCAAGCCAGGAACGACUCUCCUCCCCACACAAAAUUCCACUCAUUUGGUUUCUCUAUGGCAGUUCUCCAUGUGGCUUCCUGUGUGGCUCCGGGUUCAGCCAAUAGAAUCGUGUCACGUCGCAUUAAAUCUGUGGUUUAGUAAAUACACGUUAACUUUUGCGUUAGGCGUCUAAUUUAUUCUGUUCCAGGUGUAGCUUCGUAACAAUGUCGUGUGCAUUCUAAAAAUAUUAUCGCACCAUGAUGUUUUAAUUAAUUAAUUAUUAAUUUACCCGAUGAUUAUUGAAAUAGCAAUCUAAGUAAAACUUAUUUCUAGUUUUAACUUGCGCUUAUAAAUAAAUGUUAAUAUGAUUAAUACCCAUGUAAAUACUUUGUAUUUAAUACUCCCUUAGUGUAAAUAUGACAUCUAUUUAGUAUUUCUCGCGUAUCACGCAUACUGUUCCGCACAUAGUUGUGUCCUCGUUCGCACACCGUUUUCGCAUGUUGCGCGCAUUGGCAUGUGUCAUUCGCGUGUAUCGCGCGCUGUCCGCACGCGAUAUUAAGUCGUUCGCUUAUAAUCACUCAUGCCAGUUAAUUAACUAUUUAUUUAGUCGUCUACCGUUAAUAUUGUUAGUUAGUCAAAACUAAGUAGUUUUUUAACUUGCAUUUAAUACAUAUCUAUUAACAUGGUUAUAUUGAAUUAAAUAUUAUAACCCAUACCCACUUAGUGUAAACGCGAUAACUUCUCGAGCGUAGCUCCGACUAUCGCGUUUCUUUUUCCUCGCGCGACUGUAGUAACACGCUCUAUUUCGUUGUGUAUAUUUUAUUAUGUUUUAUUUGAAUGGUGUAAUGUUCUUACGCAUAUACAUAUAUUUGUUUGUUUGUUUGUUUGUGUCUGUUGGUAUUCGUUGUGCGUCGCAAAUAGUUUGCGAUCCGUUUCCGAGCUUCGAGGGAUCGAAGAUCAAGAGUUGGCGACCAAGUGAUCUGGCUCUUCGAGUUCCACGAAGCUGAAGACCCUGAGCAUCUAUUUGGUGAAGGCAAGUGUCCUCUGACCCAUUAUGUCCCAUUUACUUUAUAAUCCACUGCCCCGCAUACUAUGAACAACCUAAGGAUUUACUAGCUUUCUAUUUAUCUUGUCCUUGAUUUACCUUUUGGGUUACUAUGG
This 8033-nucleotide long non-coding RNA is filed under the name Zea mays. RNAcentral's name for it is "long non-coding RNA (ZMAY_LNC000787)". Lineage: Eukaryota; Viridiplantae; Streptophyta; Magnoliopsida; Poales; Poaceae. The record is from RNAcentral.